GUGGGGAAUUUUGGACAAUGGGCGCAAGCCUGAUCCAGCAAUGCCGCGUGCAGGAAGAAGGCCUUCGGGUUGUAAACUGCUUUUGUACGGAACGAAACGGUCCUGGUUAAUACCCGGGGCUAAUGACGGUACCGUAAGAAUAAGCACCGGCUAACUACGUGCCAGCAGCCGCGGUAAUACGUGGGGUGCAAGCGUUAAUCGGAAUUACUGGGCGUAAAGCGUGCGCAGGCGGUGCUGUAAGACAGGCGUGAAAUCCCCGGGCUUAACCUGGGAAUUGCGCUUGUGACUGCAGUGCUGGAGUGCGGCAGAGGGGGAUGGAAUUCCGCGUGUAGCAGUGAAAUGCGUAGAUAUGCGGAGGAACACCGAUGGCGAAGGCAAUCCCCUGGGCCUGCACUGACGCUCAUGCACGAAAGCGUGGGGAGCAAACAGGAUUAGAAACCCCAGUAGUCC
This 450-nucleotide ribosomal RNA is filed under the name uncultured bacterium. Its description in RNAcentral is "partial 16S ribosomal RNA". It matches the Rfam family "Bacterial small subunit ribosomal RNA", at positions 354 to 796 of the family's 1533-position model. The record is from RNAcentral.